CCUACGGGAGGCAGCAGUAGGGAAUCUUCCGCAAUGGACGAAAGUCUGACGGAGCAACGCCGCGUGAACGAUGAAGGCCUUCGGGUCGUAAAGUUCUGUUGUCAGGGAAGAACAAGUAUCGGAGUAACUGCCGGUACCUUGACGGUACCUAACCAGAAAGCCACGGCUAACUACGUGCCAGCAGCCGCGGUAAUACGUAGGUGGCAAGCGUUGUCCGGAAUUAUUGGGCGUAAAGCGCGCGCAGGCGGUCCUUUAAGUCUGAUGUGAAAGCCCACGGCUCAACCGUGGAGGGUCAUUGGAAACUGGGGGACUUGAGUACUGAAGAGGAAAGUGGAAUUCCACGUGUAGCGGUGAAAUGCGUAGAGAUGUGGAGGAACACCAGUGGCGAAGGCGACUUUCUGGUCAGUAACUGACGCUGAGGCGCGAAAGCGUGGGGAGCAAACAGGAUUAGAUACCCUGGUAGUCCACGCCGUAAACGAUGAGUGCUAAGUGUUAGAGGGUUUCCGCCCUUUAGUGCUGCAGCUAACGCAUUAAGCACUCCGCCUGGGGAGUACGGCCGCAAGGCUGAAACUCAAAGGAAUUGACGG
This 587-nucleotide ribosomal RNA is filed under the name uncultured bacterium. Its description in RNAcentral is "bacterial SSU rRNA". It matches the Rfam family "Bacterial small subunit ribosomal RNA", at positions 338 to 916 of the family's 1533-position model. The record is from RNAcentral.